This 406-nucleotide ribosomal RNA is filed under the name actinobacterium SCGC AAA278-M21. RNAcentral describes it as "bacterial SSU rRNA". It matches the Rfam family "Bacterial small subunit ribosomal RNA", at positions 351 to 772 of the family's 1533-position model. Lineage: Bacteria; Bacillati; Actinomycetota; Actinomycetes. The record is from RNAcentral.
GCAGUGGGGAAUCUUGCGCAAUGGACGAAAGUCUGACGCAGCAACGCCGCGUGAGGGACGAAGGCUUUCUGAGUUGUAAACCUCUUUCGACAGGAACGAUAAUGACGGUACCUGUAGAAGAAGCACCGGCCAACUAUGUGCCAGCAGCCGCGGUGAUACAUAGGGUGCAAGCGUUAUUCGGAUUUAUUGGGCGUAAAGAGCUCGUAGGCGGUUCGAUUAGUCGGGUGUUAAACCCCCAGGCUCAACCUGGGGCAGCCAUCCGAAACUGUCGUGACUAGAGUUUGGUAGGGGAUCACGGAAUUCCUGGUGUAGCGGUGGAAUGCGCAGAUAUCAGGAGGAACACCAGCAGCGAAGGCGGUGAUCUGGGCCAAUACUGACGCUGAGGAGCGAAAGCGUGGGGAGCGAA